UUGCACUCCGGAUGUGCUGACCC
Molecule: non-coding RNA, 23 nt
Filed under: Cricetulus griseus (Chinese hamster)
Lineage: Eukaryota; Metazoa; Chordata; Mammalia; Rodentia; Cricetidae
Also listed under: 1 other name
Source: RNAcentral